AAAAAGGCCCUUUUCAGGGCCAUACAAAUCAAUGAGAGAAUUUUUUU
Regulatory RNA element from Lasius niger, 47 nucleotides. It matches the Rfam family "Histone 3' UTR stem-loop". Rfam says of the family: The mRNAs of metazoan histone genes lack a poly-A tail. 3' end processing occurs at a site between a highly conserved stem-loop (modelled by this family) and a purine rich region around 20 nts downstream (the histone downstream element, or HDE). Lineage: Eukaryota; Metazoa; Arthropoda; Insecta; Hymenoptera; Formicidae. The record is from Rfam.